RNAcentral lists this ribosomal RNA (497 nucleotides) under uncultured bacterium. RNAcentral's name for it is "partial 16S ribosomal RNA". It matches the Rfam family "Bacterial small subunit ribosomal RNA", at positions 28 to 507 of the family's 1533-position model. The record is from RNAcentral.
GAUGAACGCUGGCGGCGUGCCUAAUACAUGCAAGUCGAGCGAACGGACGAGAAGCUUGCUUUUCUGAUGUUAGCGGCGGACGGGUGAGUAACACGUGGAUAACCUACCUAUAAGACUGGGAUAACUUCGGGAAACCGGAGCUAAUACCGGAUAAUAUUUUGAACCGCAUGGUUCAAAAGUGAAAGACGGUCUCGCUGUCACUUAUAGAUGGAUCCGCGCUGCAUUAGCUAGUUGGUAAGGUAACGGCUUACCAAGGCAACGAUGCAUAGCCGACCUGAGAGGGUGAUCGGCCACACUGGAACUGAGGCACGGUCCAGACUCCUACGGGAGGCAGCAGUAGGGAAUCUUCCGCAAUGGGCGAAAGCCUGACGGAGCAACGCCGCGUGAGUGAUGAAGGUCUUCGGAUCGUAAAACUCUGUUAUUAGGGAAGAACACAUGUGUAAGUAACUGUGCACAUCUUGACGGUACCUAAUCAGAAAGCCACGGCUAACUACGUG